UUUGUUUCCAAUAAAAUGGAGCCCUUUCUACCAUACAGACACUUCAUAUUUUUGUAAAAUUGUCUUGAAUAUUUUUUGAAGAAAAUGUUUAAAGUCGAAACACGCUUACUUAAUUCUGAAUUAUUCACUCUUCUGGAAGGAUGCUAAUAGGCCGCUAAUGGCCUCAAGUGGUAGAUAAUUCAGAAUACUUCCAUUUGGCUUUGCUUUUUCCUUUUCUGAGGGGGUAGAGGGCAAGUGAAGCAGCUUUAAAAUUUGAAUCCAUAGUGUACCCAAUUAUGGGAGAACAGAACAACAUCUCAAGCACAUGAAUUAAUUGUCAUUGAGUAGAAGGUGCAUGCGGACCUGGUCUGUCCCCACCUUCUCCCGUUAGUCAUUUGGUAUUAUCCUUGUGUCCUGGCUGCGGUUAUUAGCUCAAUGAGAUUUAAACUCCUGGAGUGCAGGACCCGUCAUUUUGCUGGCGUCCUUUCUUCGCGGCCACUCUGCUUGGAGGCGAGUGGGGAGGGGACCAGAUGUGGGUGGCAGAGGGUAGGCACACUCCGUGUUACCUGCAGCAA
RNAcentral lists this long non-coding RNA (554 nucleotides) under Bos taurus (domestic cattle). RNAcentral describes it as "long non-coding RNA NONBTAT008225". Lineage: Eukaryota; Metazoa; Chordata; Mammalia; Artiodactyla; Bovidae. The record is from RNAcentral.